AUCGAUUUCUUCGGAUUGAAAUUUUAGUGACUGAGUGGCGGACGGGUGAGUAACGCGUGGGUAACCUGCCUCACACAGGGGGAUAACAGUUGGAAACGGCUGCUAAUACCGCAUAAGCGCACAGGAUCGCAUGAUCCGGUGUGAAAAACUCCGGUGGUAUGAGAUGGACCCGCGUCUGAUUAGCCAGUUGGCGGGGUAACGGCCCACCAAAGCGACGAUCAGUAGCCGGCCUGAGAGGGUGAACGGCCACAUUGGGACUGAGACACGGCCCAAACUCC
Molecule: ribosomal RNA, 278 nt
Filed under: uncultured Eubacteriales bacterium
Lineage: Bacteria; Bacillati; Bacillota; Clostridia; Eubacteriales
Description: uncultured Clostridiales bacterium partial 16S ribosomal RNA
Rfam family: Bacterial small subunit ribosomal RNA (bases 40-278)
Source: RNAcentral